GCACCGAAGAAGGAGAAGGCCCCGGCGGCGUCGUCGAAGCCGUCCAAGUCGGGUGGCGGGAAGCAGAAGAAGAAGUGGAGCAACGCGGUGCUCUUCGACCAGGCCACCUACGACAAGAUGCUCACCGAGGUGCCCAAGUACAAGCAGAUCACGCCCUCCGUCCUCUCCGAGUGCCUGAGGUUAAUGCACCCCCAUCCUCCCUCCCUCCUAGUUUUGUGCCAAUAUUGGUAG
This 231-nucleotide ribosomal RNA is filed under the name Triticum aestivum (bread wheat). RNAcentral describes it as "partial small subunit ribosomal RNA". The record is from RNAcentral. Lineage: Eukaryota; Viridiplantae; Streptophyta; Magnoliopsida; Poales; Poaceae.